Molecule: small RNA, 769 nt
Filed under: Arabidopsis thaliana (thale cress)
Lineage: Eukaryota; Viridiplantae; Streptophyta; Magnoliopsida; Brassicales; Brassicaceae
Description: ATSL044340
Source: RNAcentral
AAUGAUUAUUAUAAAACAAUAAUAAAUAAUUAUCAUUAUUAAUAAUUAUUAAUUCAUUAUCAUCAAACUUAGAAUAUUUACAGAUUCCACCGUUUAUGGAUUUACGUUUUUGGCGGGAAAAUUACGGGUUUUCGUUUUUGGCGGAAAAAUCACGGAUUUACGUUUUUGGCGGGAAAAUUACAGGUUUACGUUUUUGGUGGGAAAAUCACGGGUUUACGUUUUUGGCGGGAAAAUCACGGGUUUUCGUUUUUGGCGGGAAAAUUACAUGUUUACGUUUUUGGCGGGAAAAUCACGCGUUUACGUUUUUGGCGGGAAAAUCACGGGUUUUCGUUUUUGGCGGGAAAAUCACGGGUUUUCGUUUUUGGCGGGAAAAUCAUGGGUUUUCGUUUUUGGCGGGAAAAUCAUGGGUUUUCGUUUUUUGCGGGAAAUCACGGGUUUACGUUUUUUGCGGAAAAAUCACGGAUUUACGUUUUUGGCGGGAAAAUCGCGGGUUUAUGUUUUUUUGUGGAAAAAUUACGAGUUUACUUUUUCUCAAUUCAUCGCUUGUAUAUUUAAGAAAUUUGGAAAAAUAUUGAUUUUAUUAGAUUGGUUUAGAUGUGUUGGUUAAACUUAAAUUGGCAUUGAUUUAGAGAUUUUAGUUGGUUUAAUUCAAUUUUACAAAACUUGAUGGGUUAAUUGGGUAAACCAUUGAAACCAUUAACCAUUACAACCCAACUCAUUUUACAUUAAAGAUAACAUUUAUUUUAAACAUAAAUAAUCGUAAAUAAGU